Molecule: ribosomal RNA, 494 nt
Filed under: uncultured bacterium
Lineage: Bacteria
Description: partial 16S ribosomal RNA
Rfam family: Bacterial small subunit ribosomal RNA
Source: RNAcentral
GACGAACGCUGGCGGCGCGCUUAACACAUGCAAGUCGAACGGAAAGGCCUGCUUUCCCUUGUGGAUUGCGGGUACUCGAGUGGCGAACGGGAGAGUAACACGUGAGUGAUCUGCCCCCAACUUGGGUAUAAGCCUGGGAAACUGGGUCUAAUUCCCGAUAGGACUGCAGGGUGGUGCCUGUGGUGGAACACGAUUUUCUAGUGGUUGGGGAUGAGCUCGCGGCCUAUCAGAUUGUUGGUGGGGUAAUGGCUUACCAAGGCGGCGACGGGUAGCCGGCCUGAGAGGGAGGACGGCCGCGGUGGGACUGGGAUACGGCGCAGACGCGAACGGGAGGCAGCAGUGGGGGGUGGCAGCAGAGGUGCGUAAUCCUGAUGCGGCGACGCCGCGUGGGAGAAGUCGUGCUUCGAGGAGUAAGCUCCUUGCGACCGAGAGGAAGCCACCUAGUUGAAAGGGUGGUGACGGUAGUGGUAGAAGAAGCACCGGCUAACUACGUG